GGUUUUAGGUUUGAAUAAACUUUUUUCUUUUAUUUAUUUAUUUAUUUGGCUAUAAAGAAUACUUUACAGGUAUUCCAUGAGGAGGUCCUCACACUGGGUUUUUGCCAGCAGCGAUGCUCAGGGGGAUGACCUGUUGAGAAAGUAAUUAUUAUAUGUCCAUGAGAAGGUACCUUUGCCUGGAACAUCAACUGAGGCAAAGUUUACAUGCUAUUGCUUUGCAGGGUGGGGGUGCAAUGCUGUGAAAGGGGAAAAAUGAAUUGAGGGGGAAACUACAAGAUGGUCUGCUGCUGAAUUAGCCACUGCUUGAUAAACAGCACAGCUGGCCGCUUGGCUAUGUGAGACAUCUUUGGAGGUGCUGUGUAGCUCCGUUGCACCUCAGAGGAGUCCUACAAGGCAAAGCUCACGUGGUGGUAAAGCACUUGUACUUCAGGAUUGUGUUGCUAGCUGCCUCGACACAGCCACUGGGAAAGCCAGUUCACCCGGGGCUCCUGCUGGACCUGGGCACAGGAGUUGCUGCAGCUCCUGCCCUGGCAGGUGGAAUGACAUGGCCUUGCCAAAGACAGCGGUGCCUGUCAUUAUAGGAGGUAAGGUGACAAGGUGGAAGCUGGAACUUUGCGGCCAUCACUGGAGCUGCUUUACCUAGGAUCAGGGUAGUGGGUCCCCAGGGGCAGGCAGGGUCAAAUGGAUGUGCUGGCUGGGUAUAAAUUGGAUCCAACAUUUUUUUCCUUUUAAAUUACUGAAUGAUUUGUGGGGUGUACUUUGCCCCUGUAGGAAUAUUCUAUUGCCCUGCCACGUUUAUGUAAUGGUUUCAGUAUCCAUUGAUUAUUCUUGCCUGUACCAUUUAUUACAGCAGGAGAUGCAAGAUAUGAGG
This 871-nucleotide long non-coding RNA is filed under the name Homo sapiens (human). RNAcentral's name for it is "long non-coding RNA NONHSAT250674". Lineage: Eukaryota; Metazoa; Chordata; Mammalia; Primates; Hominidae. The record is from RNAcentral.